AUUGAACGCUGGCGGCAUGAUUUACACAUGCAAGUCGAACGGUAACAGGCCGCAAGGUGCUGACGAGUGGCGAACGGGUGAGUAAUGCAUCGGAACGUGCCCAGUCGUGGGGGAUAACUACUCGAAAGAGUAGCUAAUACCGCAUACGAUCUAUGGAUGAAAGCGGGGGACCGUAAGGCCUCGCGCGAUUGGAGCGGCCGAUGUCAGAUUAGGUAGUUGGUGGGGUAAAGGCUCACCAAGCCAACGAUCUGUAGCUGGUCUGAGAGGACGACCAGCCACACUGGGACUGAGACACGGCCCAGACUCCUACGGGAGGCAGCAGUGGGGAAUUUUGGACAAUGGGCGCAAGCCUGAUCCAGCAAUGCCGCGUGCAGGAAGAGGGCCUUCGGGUUGUAAACUGCUUUUGUACGGAACGAAACGGCUCUGGUUAAUACCCGGGGCUAAUGACGGUACCGUAAGAAUAAGCACCGGCUAACUACGUG
RNAcentral lists this ribosomal RNA (482 nucleotides) under uncultured bacterium. RNAcentral describes it as "partial 16S ribosomal RNA". It matches the Rfam family "Bacterial small subunit ribosomal RNA", at positions 30 to 507 of the family's 1533-position model. The record is from RNAcentral.